Molecule: long non-coding RNA, 3101 nt
Filed under: Pogona vitticeps (central bearded dragon)
Lineage: Eukaryota; Metazoa; Chordata; Lepidosauria; Squamata; Agamidae
Description: lncRNA (ENSPVIG00000002215.1)
Source: RNAcentral
CUGAUUUCUGCACCCACUCCCAACCAUCUGAAGCCAUCCAUCGGCCUGAUUUUUCCUUGACACCAUUUGCACUCACCCACUCCAGCUCCUUUUUGAGUGAAUACCCACUGUUCUUUGGGACAUGUCCCAUUUUGAGGGAUACGGGCUAUUCUGUAAGCCUGUAGGCAGGGCUUGAUUUGCUUGCUAUGGAUCUUCUGUAAGAAACUUGGGAAAACAUUUUGAGUAGCAAUUGAGAUUUAAAAAAUUCUUUCAGUAUAAUCUUGAUAUUCAAAGCCUAGUGAGAAGCAAUUAAGCAUGUGCCCUUUGGAUUUAUUUGGGUCCAAAUCCCAGAAUUCUCCAUUCUGGGAUUCGGAAUCCAAAAAAUCCAAAUAGCACAUCACUAGCAGCCACUAUGUGCUUAAGUUCCAGGAGCAAACAGAGGUGAGCCACAUUAUUUAGUCCCCUUGACUGGCUAGAGAGAGAGGAGGUCUUUGGACUGAUCAGGUGUAAAUAAGGUCCUUCUGGAGUCCUCUUACGUGCACCAGAUACCUUGUAUGCCAAGCUCUGACACAGGUGUGCAUCAAAGAACCACACAUACUUAGGCUCCAGAUCUGGUACAAGCAUUUACCGUAUUUUUCGCUCUAUAAGACGCACCUUUCCAUAAGACGCACCGAUUUUUUAGGAGAAGAAAACAGGAAAAUAUAAUCUGUUUUCUUCGCUCCAUAAGAUGCACAGACUUUCCACCCCCCUGUUUUGUGGGAAAAAAGUGAGUCUUAUGGUGCAAAAAAUACAGUAUUUUACUUCGCUCUCUACAAAUUGUAUCUUCUUUUUGCCUACUCUUAACCCUUUAUCCCCCAGAAAGUUUAACAAGCCAAUUGAACUUUUCCUCACUACCUUCCCCUCCUGUUUAACACUUAAUGGUUUCAAAUUGGGAGCUUCCAAACGGACUCCAUUCACUCCCAUUGCUCUUAGGACUCCUCCUGAGGAUUCCAUUUCAUGUACACUCUUGGAUAACGUUGAUUGUUCCCCCUGUGUCUACUCAGAGAGUCACAUUUCCCCCUUUCUCUUUACAUACAGCACAAACAUCCCCAGGGCAGAGGAGCUCUUGGCCCUGAGCCCCUCCUUUCCCUCCUGUUUAACCACGAGGAGUUGCAAAAUCAGAACCUCCUCAGUUUAUCCAGUAGCUCUCAAUAUUUUCACCUUCCCCUUUGUACAUUGCCAAUUAUAAUUUAUUUUAUUUUUAUGCAUUUUCCAACACAAUGUGGAGUGGGUCGCUCCAGUGUCUACCAAAAAUCCUCACUCUCUAGACCCACUCUAUAUUUUAUCAAGGACUCCUUUAUCGUCUUUCCCCUGUGGUUGUCCAAAGGCUUUUGUCAUGCUGAUGUUAGUAGGUAUUAUCUGCUGAAAAGCCUGUAACAUAUAUCGGCAGUAAGUUUCACAAUGUGUUCGCCCUGCUUGAGUUUGGAAAUUCCAAUCAGCCGGGGUUUCCUCCGGAAAGUUUUCCCUGGCUUCUGCCUCAAAGGUUGGAGGAGAUGUGAGGAUCCCACUAAUCCUGUAUCUUCCUCGCCCUUUUUUGGAGUGGUAGGUCGUACCUGACCUUUCCGUCCCUUUAAAUCUUGCAAUUCCCAUCCGAAUUGCCCUAUUUGCAAGCUCCUAGGUUCCUUUUCUAACCUCCUACAAUGCUCUUCGCAUUUCCCCUCCUCCUCCAGCUGCAUCGCCUGUCGAAACAGCUCGCGCCUGCCUUCUCCUCCCUGUCUUGCCCCUCUUCGCUUGCUACAAUGACUUCCCUUGCCUUCUUUACAAUAUCCUCCAAUGACAAUUCAGCUAGAUUAUCGAACUUCUGCAAUUUCUUCUUAACAUCAUUUCCUUCUUCAGUUUUCCCAAAUAACCCUUCCUCUUUUUCUUUACUCUCCUCCUUCCUUUCUUUACUCUGUCUCUCUCUCUUCGCCUAGCUUCACCAAGUAUUUCCAGAGACUCCUUAAAUGUGAACACAAUCAGGGCCCCUUGCCCCCCUUCUUCAUCCCCUCCUGUGAGUCAUAGCUCCACUGGCCUCAACCCACACUGCCCCAUCCUGCAAUUUUUUUAUACCCUCCAAUACAGCCGCUGCGUAACAGCUUCCAAAAUUUCCUUCUCCCUUCAUUUCCUCAAAGUCACAAGGUUCAAACUUUGGCCACCGUGGCUGAAUGUUAAAUGGUGGCGCACAAUCACACCAUUUCUCCAGGGGUCUGCCAGUCUUGCGUCUUAACCUGUUCCCAAUGCAGGAGUAGCCACGCAAGUGGACUACCUCCAGGAAUUCCUAGCUCUGAUGACCCUUUCAAAGCCUGGGCGUCCCCAAACGGAAUUCCUUCCCCAGUCUCCUUGUCUAAUUUUUUUAGACGUCUUGUUUCCCAUACCGCUGGCUUAAACAGACACAAAAGGUGAGGGGAGUGCGAGAGAGGUAAGGGAUCCUCAAUCGCAGACACACAAAGGGAAAUAAUUUCACUCGCCUCAGUCUGGCUCCUGCUUACUCACUCACUCUCCAAACACACAACAGCGUCCCACCCACUAAUCCAGGACAAUUUUCAAACACUCACCGAUAGAUCUGAUGUCCCGCGAGGUCGACCUGCCUCUUCUUUCGCGGAGCGCCUCAAAAUGGGUUCUUGGGAACGAGGCAUCAGGCAGCAACUGAGAAAGCGGCCGUUAAAAAAAAAUAACGGGGGCCCUCCGAUUUCGCAAGCCACUCGCCUGUCCACCUCGAGCCCAACGGGACUAACACAGCCCGGCUCAAAAGGGCAAUUUAAAGUCCCAUCUGGGGUGCCAAAUUGUUAACCGGCUUUAAGGGGGGGGGGUAAAUUCCCUUACGCCCCAACAACCAAACAAGAGACAAAGAGUGCUCUGCGAAAGAAGUUUUAUUUUUACAAUUCUGCAGAAUUGGAGAGAACACCGUCAAAAAGCACCGGAGUCUCUGCCCAAAACCGGAAAUACACAAGAUUAUAAAAGGCUCCUAAUAAUGAGCUCACCGCCUUGGAAUGUUACCAAAUAAGGUCAUAAAACCAUUUUGUGGCUAUUCAUUGGUGAGGUCUUAUCAGUAAGUUUCCUCUACUUCUUCUUUAUGUUUAAUAAAGGAUGUCCAGUAGAUGGCA